Molecule: ribosomal RNA, 1351 nt
Filed under: uncultured bacterium
Lineage: Bacteria
Description: bacterial SSU rRNA
Rfam family: Bacterial small subunit ribosomal RNA
Source: RNAcentral
GAUGAACGCUGGCGGCGUGCUUAACACAUGCAAGUCGAACGAGGAUUUAACGGAAUGCGAUUCGUCAAAUGAAAUUAAAUCCGAGUGGCGGACGGGUGAGUAACGCGUGGAUAACCUGCCUCACACAGGGGGACAACAGCCGGAAACGGCUGCUAAUACCGCAUAACACAAGUAAUUCGCAUGAAUAACUUGCCAAAGAUUUUAUCGGUGUGAGAUGGAUCCGCGUCUGAUUAGCCAGUUGGCGGGGUAACGGCCCACCAAAGCGACGAUCAGUAGCCGACCUGAGAGGGUGACCGGCCACAUUGGGACUGAGACACGGCCCAAACUCCUACGGGAGGCAGCAGUGGGGAAUAUUGCACAAUGGGCGAAAGCCUGAUGCAGCGACGCCGCGUGAAGGAUGAAGUAUUUCGGUAUGUAAACUUCUAUCAGCAGGGAAGAAAAUGACGGUACCUGACUAAGAAGCCCCGGCUAACUACGUGCCAGCAGCCGCGGUAAUACGUAGGGGGCAAGCGUUAUCCGGAUUUACUGGGUGUAAAGGGAGCGUAGAUGGCAUGGCAAGUCUGAAGUGAAAGCCCGGGGCUUAACCCCGGGACUGCUUUGGAAACUGUUAAGCUAGAGUGCAGGAGAGGUAAGCGGAAUUCCUAGUGUAGCGGUGAAAUGCGUAGAUAUUAGGAGGAACACCGGUGGCGAAGGCGGCUUACUGGACUGUAACUGACAUUGAGGCUCGAAAGCGUGAGGAGCAAACAGGAUUAGAUACCCUGGUAGUCCACGCCGUAACGAUGAAUACUAGGUGUUNGGGGAGUAUAAGCUCUUCNGUGCCNGCGCAACGCAUUANGUAUCCCACUGGGGAGUACGUCGCNAGAUGNAAACUCAANGGAAUGACGGGGACCCGCACAAGCGGUGGAGCAUGUGGUUUAUUCGACGCAACGCGAAGAACCUUACCAAGUCUUGACAUCCCGGUGACCGGUCAGUAACGUGACCUUCUCUUCGGAACACCGGUGACAGGUGGUGCAUGGUUGUCGUCAGCUCGUGUCGUGAGAUGUUGGGUUAAGUCCCGCAACGAGCGCAACCCCUGUCCUUAGUAGCCAGCAGUAAGAUGGGCACUCUAGGGAGACCGCCGGGGAUAACCCGGAGGAAGGUGGGGAUGACGUCAAAUCAUCAUGCCCCUUAUGAUUUGGGCUACACACGUGCUACAAUGGCGUAAACAAAGAGAGGCAAGACCGCGAGGUUAAGCAAAGCUCAAAAAUAACGUCUCAGUUCGGAUUGUAGCCUGCGACUCGACUACUUGAAAGCUGGAAAUCGCUAGUAAUCGCGGAUCGGAAAUGCUGCGGUGAAAUACGUUCCCGGGUCU